Molecule: ribosomal RNA, 1142 nt
Filed under: Acinetobacter baumannii
Lineage: Bacteria; Pseudomonadati; Pseudomonadota; Gammaproteobacteria; Moraxellales; Moraxellaceae
Description: bacterial SSU rRNA
Rfam family: Bacterial small subunit ribosomal RNA
Source: RNAcentral
AGCAGGGCGGGCAGCUUACACAUGCAAGUCGAGCGGGGGAAGGUAGCUUGCUACUGGACCUAGCGGCGGACGGGUGAGUAAUGCUUAGGAAUCUGCCUAUUAGUGGGGGACAACAUCUCGAAAGGGAUGCUAAUACCGCAUACGUCCUACGGGAGAAAGCAGGGGAUCUUCGGACCUUGCGCUAAUAGAUGAGCCUAAGUCGGAUUAGCUAGUUGGUGGGGUAAAGGCCUACCAAGGCGACGAUCUGUAGCGGGUCUGAGAGGAUGAUCCGCCACACUGGGACUGAGACACGGCCCAGACUCCUACGGGAGGCAGCAGUGGGGAAUAUUGGACAAUGGGGGGAACCCUGAUCCAGCCAUGCCGCGUGUGUGAAGAAGGCCUUAUGGUUGUAAAGCACUUUAAGCGAGGAGGAGGCUACUUUAGUUAAUACCUAGAGAUAGUGGACGUUACUCGCAGAAUAAGCACCGGCUAACUCUGUGCCAGCAGCCGCGGUAAUACAGAGGGUGCGAGCGUUAAUCGGAUUUACUGGGCGUAAAGCGUGCGUAGGCGGCUUAUUAAGUCGGAUGUGAAAUCCCCGAGCUUAACUUGGGAAUUGCAUUCGAUACUGGUGAGCUAGAGUAUGGGAGAGGAUGGUAGAAUUCCAGGUGUAGCGGUGAAAUGCGUAGAGAUCUGGAGGAAUACCGAUGGCGAAGGCAGCCAUCUGGCCUAAUACUGACGCUGAGGUACGAAAGCAUGGGGAGCAAACAGGAUUAGAUACCCUGGUAGUCCAUGCCGUAAACGAUGUCUACUAGCCGUUGGGGCCUUUGAGGCUUUAGUGGCGCAGCUAACGCGAUAAGUAGACCGCCUGGGGAGUACGGUCGCAAGACUAAAACUCAAAUGAAUUGACGGGGGCCCGCACAAGCGGUGGAGCAUGUGGUUUAAUUCGAUGCAACGCGAAGAACCUUACCUGGCCUUGACAUACUAGAAACUUUCCAGAGAUGGAUUGGUGCCUUCGGGAAUCUAGAUACAGGUGCUGCAUGGCUGUCGUCAGCUCGUGUCGUGAGAUGUGGGGUUAAGUCCCGCAACGAGCGCAACCCUUUUCUUACUGCCAGCAUUUCGGAUGGGAACUUUAAGGAUACUGCCCAGUGAACAAACUGGAGGAA